Molecule: ribosomal RNA, 425 nt
Filed under: uncultured bacterium
Lineage: Bacteria
Description: partial 16S ribosomal RNA
Rfam family: Bacterial small subunit ribosomal RNA
Source: RNAcentral
GUGGGGAAUCUUAGACAAUGGGGGAAACCCUGAUCUAGCCAUGCCGCGUGAUCAAUGAAGGCCUUAGGGUUGUAAAGAUCUUUCAGGUGGGAAGAUAAUGACUGUACCACCAGAAGAAGCCCCGGCUAACUCCGUGCCAGCAGCCGCGGUAAUACGGAGGGGGCUAGCGUUGUUCGGAAUUACUGGGCGUAAAGCGCACGUAGGCGGAUUGGAAAGUUGGGGGUGAAAUCCCGGGGCUCAACCCCGGAACUGCCUUCAAAACUUCCAGUCUUGAGUUCGGGAGAGGAGAGUGGAAUUCCGAGUGUAGAGCUGAAAAUCUUAGAUAUUGGGCGGAACAACAGUGGCGAAGGCGGCUCACUGGCUCGAUACUGACGCUGAGGUGCGAAAGCGUGGGGAGCAAACAGGAUUAGACACCCGAGUAGUCC